Long non-coding RNA from Symphalangus syndactylus (siamang), 577 nucleotides. RefSeq lists it as uncharacterized. The record is from RefSeq and is a predicted model, not a curated record. NCBI's taxonomy places the organism in Eukaryota, Metazoa, Chordata, Mammalia, Primates, Hylobatidae.
GUGUCAAGAAAUGGAGCAGCAUCUGAAAACUGGAAAAGUCAAGGAACCAAUUCUGCCCUAAAGCCUCCAGAAGGAACAAGGCAGUACUGACACCUAGCUUUCAGCCUAGUGAGAACCAUUUUUAACCUCUGACCUCCAGAACUAGUCUGCUUCAGGAACCAAACCUGUGAGUGUUGGCUGAAUCAUGGUCUCAGUCCUUAAUGGAAUGCCACUGUUUAUGGAAAAUAAUGUGAUUAAAGGGACAAGGACUUUAGAUACUUGAAGAUUCCAGAAAGAAGCCCAAUCCCUGCAAAACAAAAACCAGUUGGAUCCAGAAACACCUGAGUUGGAGAUGAGCCUUGGAAACCUCUCCUGACUACCGAAAACCCCACCCAGGGAGGAACUUAUUCACCAUGUUUUAUACAUGUGACAUAUGUAGAAGAAUAAUCAACACCUGCAUCUGCCCUGCCUUUAAUCCACCUCUACACACAAUGACUCAGCCAACCAGCCUAAGAUAAGCCCUGUUUUCACCCUCAUUCAGGAGGCCAAUGUUUGGGGAGUUAUCCCCAGUGCCCUCUUUACUUGUUGCAUGUAAUAA